This 496-nucleotide ribosomal RNA is filed under the name uncultured bacterium. RNAcentral describes it as "partial 16S ribosomal RNA". It matches the Rfam family "Bacterial small subunit ribosomal RNA", at positions 28 to 507 of the family's 1533-position model. The record is from RNAcentral.
GAUGAACGCUGGCGGCGUGCCUAAUACAUGCAAGUCGAGCGAACGGACGAGAAGCUUGCUUUUCUGAUGUUAGCGGCGGACGGGUGAGUAACACGUGGAUAACCUACCUAUAGACUGGGAUAACUUCGGGAAACCGGAGCUAAUACCGGAUAAUAUUUUUAACCGCUUGGUUCAAAAGUUAAAGACGGUCUUGCUGUCACUUAUAGAUGGAUCCGCGCUGCAUUAGCUAGUUGGUAAGGUAACGGCUUACCAAGGCAACGAUGCAUAGCCGACCUGAGAGGGUGAUCGGCCACACUGGAACUGAGACACGGUCCAGACUCCUACGGGAGGCAGCAGUAGGGAAUCUUCCGCAAUGGGCGAAAGCCUGACGGAGCAACGCCGCGUGAGUGAUGAAGGUCUUCGGAUCGUAAAACUCUGUUAUUAGGGAAGAACAUAUGUGUAAGUAACUGUGCACAUCUUGACGGUACCUAAUCAGCAAGCCACGGCUAACUACGUG